This 253-nucleotide ribosomal RNA is filed under the name uncultured prokaryote. Its description in RNAcentral is "partial 16S ribosomal RNA". It matches the Rfam family "Bacterial small subunit ribosomal RNA", at positions 524 to 776 of the family's 1533-position model. The record is from RNAcentral.
UACGAAGGGGGCUAGCGUUGCUCGGAAUUACUGGGCGUAAAGGGAGCGUAGGCGGGUCGUCAAGUUGGGGGUGAAAGCCCAGGGCUCAACCUUGGAAUUGCCUUCAAAACUGACGAUCUAGAGUAUGGAAGAGGUAAGUGGAACUCCGAGUGUAGAGGUGAAAUUCGUAGAUAUUCGGAAGAACACCAGUGGCGAAGGCGGCUCACUGGCCCGGUACUGACGCUGAGGUGCGAAAGCGUGGGGAGCAAACAGG